RNAcentral lists this ribosomal RNA (296 nucleotides) under Enterococcus faecium. Its description in RNAcentral is "partial 16S ribosomal RNA". It matches the Rfam family "Bacterial small subunit ribosomal RNA", at positions 1 to 275 of the family's 1533-position model. The record is from RNAcentral. Lineage: Bacteria; Bacillati; Bacillota; Bacilli; Lactobacillales; Enterococcaceae.
UUUUAUGAGAGUUUGAUCCUGGCUCAGGACGAACGCUGGCGGCGUGCCUAAUACAUGCAAGUCGAACGCUUCUUUUUCCACCGGAGCUUGCUCCACCGGAAAAAGAGGAGUGGCGAACGGGUGAGUAACACGUGGGUAACCUGCCCAUCAGAAGGGGAUAACACUUGGAAACAGGUGCUAAUACCGUAUAACAAUCGAAACCGCAUGGUUUUGAUUUGAAAGGCGCUUUCGGGUGUCGCUGAUGGAUGGACCCGCGGUGCAUUAGCUAGUUGGUGAGGUAACGGCUCACCAAGGCC